Molecule: long non-coding RNA, 2053 nt
Organism: Salvelinus fontinalis (brook trout)
Lineage: Eukaryota; Metazoa; Chordata; Actinopteri; Salmoniformes; Salmonidae
Exons: 3
Source: RefSeq, a predicted model, not a curated record
UCCUCUAGAGGUCUGCUGUAACAUAAUACUAGAGGUCUGCUGUAAGGUAACAUAGUACUAGAGGUCUGCUGUAAGGUAACAUAAUACUAGAGGUCUGCUGUAAGGUAACAUAAUACUAGAGGUCUGCUGUAAGGUAACGUAAUACUAGAGGUCUGCUGUAAGGUAACGUAAUACUAGAGGUCCGCUGUAAGGUAACGUAAUACUAGAGGUCCGCUGUAAGGUAACGUAAUACUAGAGGUCUGCUGUAAGGUAACAUAAUACUAGAGGUCCGCUGUAAGGUAACGUAAUACUAGAGGUCUGCUGUAAGGUAACGUAAUACUAGAGGUCUGCUGUAAGGUAACGUAAUACUAGAGGUCUGCUGUAAGGUAACGUAAUACUAGAGGUCUGCUGUAAGGUAACGUAAUACUAGAGGUCUGCUGUAAGGUAACGUAAUACUAGAGGUCUGCUGUAAGGUAACGUAAUACUAGAGGUCCGCUGUAAGGUAACGUAAUACUAGAGGUCCGCUGUAAGGUAACGUAAUACUAGAGGUCCGCUGUAAGGUAACGUAAUACUAGAGGUCCGCUGUAAGGUAACGUAAUACUAGAUGUCUGCUGUAAGGUAACAUAAUACUAGAGGUCUGCUGUAAGGUAACAUAAUACUAGAGGUCUGCUGUAAGGUAACAUAAUACUAGAGGUCUGCUGUAAGGUAACAUAAUACUAGAGGUCUGCUGUAAGGUAACAUAAUACUAGAUGUCUGCUGUAAGGUAACGUAAUACUAGAGGUCUGCUGUAAGGUAACGUAAUACUAGAGGUCUGCUGUAAGGUAACGUAAUACUAGAGGUCUGCUGUAAGGUAACGUAAUACUAGAGGUCUGCUGUAAGGUAACAUAAUACUAGAGGUCUGCUGUAAGGUAACGUAAUACUAGAGGUCCGCUGUAAGGUAACGUAAUACUAGAGGUCCGCUGUAAGGUAACGUAAUACUAGAGGUCUGCUGUAAGGUAACGUAAUACUAGAGGUCUGCUGUAAGGUAACGUAAUACUAGAGGUCUGCUGUAAGGUAACGUAAUACUAGAGGUCUGCUGUAAGGUAACGUAAUACUAGAGGUCUGCUGUAAGGUAACGUAAUACUAGAGGUCUGCUGUAAGGUAACGUAAUACUAGAGGUCCGCUGUAAGGUAACGUAAUACUAGAGGUCCGCUGUAAGGUAACGUAAUACUAGAGGUCCGCUGUAAGGUAACGUAAUACUAGAGGUCCGCUGUAAGGUAACGUAAUACUAGAGGUCCGCUGUAAGGUAACGUAAUACUAGAGGUCCGCUGUAAGGUAACGUAAUACUAGAGGUCCGCUGUAAGGUAACGUAAUACUAGAGGUCCGCUGUAAGGUAACGUAAUACUAGAGGUCCGCUGUAAGGUAACGUAAUACUAGAGGUCCGCUGUAAGGUAACGUAAUACUAGAGGUCUGCUGUAAAGUAACGUAAUACUAGAGGUCUGCAGUAAGGUAACGUAAUACUAGAGGUCCGCUGUAAGGUAACGUAAUACUAGAGGUCUGCUGUAAAGUAACGUAAUACUAGAGGUCUGCAGUAAGGUAACGUAAUACUAGAGGUCUGCUGUAAGGUAACGUAAUACUAGAGGUCUGCUGUAAGGUAACGUAAUACUAGAGGUCCGCUGUAAGGUAACAUAAUACUAGAGGUCUGCUGUAAGGUAACAUAAUACUAGAGGUCCGCUGUAAGGUAACAUAAUACUAGAGGUCUGCUGUAAGGUAACAUAAUACUAGAGGUCUGCUGUAACGUAACAUAAUACUAGAGGUCUGCAGUAAGGUAACGUAAUACUAGAGGUCUGCUGUAAGGUAACAUAAUACUAGAGGUCUGCUGUAAGGUAACAUAAUACUAGAGGUCUGCUGUAAGGUAACAUAAUACUAGAGGUCUGCUGUAAGGUAACAUCAUACAUAAUACUAGAGGUCUGCUGUAAGGUAACGUAAUACUAGAGGUCUGCUGUAAGGUAACGUAAUACUAGAGGUCUGCUGUAAGGUAACGUAAUACUAGAGGUCUGCUGUAAGGUAACGUAAUACUAGAGGUCUGCUGUAA